Stegodyphus mimosarum is the source of this 73-nucleotide non-coding RNA. Lineage: Eukaryota; Metazoa; Arthropoda; Arachnida; Araneae; Eresidae. The record is from Rfam.
GCCUUCGUGGUGUAGUGGUCAACACACUCGGCGCGUAACCGAGAGGUUCGUGGUUCGAUUCUAGGUGAAGACG